UGGCGGCGUGCUAUACAUGCAGUUGAGCGCUGAAGGUUGGUACUUGUACCGACUGGAUGAGCAGCGAACGGGUGAGUAACGCGUGGGGAAUCUGCCUUUGAGCGGGGGACAACAUUUGGAAACGAAUGCUAAUACCGCAUAAAAACUUUAAACACAAGUUUUAAGUUUGAAAGAUGCAAUUGCAUCACUCAAAGAUGAUCCCGCGUUGUAUUAGCUAGUUGGUGAGGUAAAGGCUCACCAAGGCGAUGAUACAUAGCCGACCUGAGAGGGUGAUCGGCCACAUUGGGACUGAGACACGGCCCAAACUCCUACGGGAGGCAGCAGUAGGGAAUCUUCGGCAAUGGACGAAAGUCUGACCGAGCAACGCCGCGUGAGUGAAGAAGGUUUUCGGAUCGUAAAACUCUGUUGGUAGAGAAGAACGUUGGUGAGAGUGGAAAGCUCAUCAAGUGACGGUAACUACCCAGAAAGGGACGGCUAACUACGUGCCAGCAGCCGCGGUAAUACGUAGGUCCCGAGCGUUGUCCGGAUUUAUUGGGCGUAAAGCGAGCGCAGGUGGUUUAUUAAGUCUGGUGUAAAAGGCAGUGGCUCAACCAUUGUAUGCAUUGGAAACUGGUAGACUUGAGUGCAGGAGAGGAGAGUGGAAUUCCAUGUGUAGCGGGUGAAAUGCGUAGAUUAUAUGGAGGAACACCGGUGGCGAAAGCGGCUUCUCUGGCCUUGUAACUGACACUGAGGCUCGAAAGCGUGGGGGAGCAAACAGGAUUAGAUACCCUGGUAGUCCACGCCGUAAACGAUGAANGUGCUAGAUGUAGGGAGCUAUAAGUUCUCUUGUAUCGCAGCUAACGCAAUAAGCACUCCGCCUGGGAAGUACCGACCGCAAGGUUGAAACUCAAAGGAAAUGACGGGGCUCGCACAAGCGGUGGAACAUGUGUUUAUUCGAAGCACGCGGAGACCUUACAGUCUUGACAUACUCGUGCUAUUCUAGAAGAUAGAAGUCUCUCGGACCCGGAUCAGGUGUGCAGGUGUCGUCACCUCUGUCCUGAGAAUGUGGUAGUCCGCAACAGGCAACCCUAUGUAGGUGCAUCAUAAGUGGCGUCUACCGACAGCUGCGGUAAAC
Molecule: ribosomal RNA, 1114 nt
Filed under: Lactococcus lactis
Lineage: Bacteria; Bacillati; Bacillota; Bacilli; Lactobacillales; Streptococcaceae
Description: bacterial SSU rRNA
Rfam family: Bacterial small subunit ribosomal RNA
Source: RNAcentral